RNAcentral lists this ribosomal RNA (1528 nucleotides) under Salmonella enterica. Its description in RNAcentral is "partial 23S ribosomal RNA". It matches the Rfam family "Bacterial large subunit ribosomal RNA", at positions 1292 to 2803 of the family's 2925-position model. RNAcentral also lists the same sequence under 1 other name. Lineage: Bacteria; Pseudomonadati; Pseudomonadota; Gammaproteobacteria; Enterobacterales; Enterobacteriaceae. The record is from RNAcentral.
GAAUGCUGACAUAAGUAACGAUAAAGCGGGUGAAAAGCCCGCUCGCCGGAAGACCAAGGGUUCCUGUCCAACGUUAAUCGGGGCAGGGUGAGUCGACCCCUAAGGCGAGGCCGAAAGGCGUAGUCGAUGGGAAACGGGUUAAUAUUCCCGUACUUGGUGUUACUGCGAAGGGGGGACGGAGAAGGCUAUGUUGGCCGGGCGACGGUUGUCCCGGUUUAAGCGUGUAGGUGUGUGUUCCAGGUAAAUCCGGUUCACUUUAACACUGAGGCGUGACGACGAGGCACUACGGUGCUGAAGCAACAAAUGCCCUGCUUCCAGGAAAAGCCUCUAAGCAUCAGGUAACAUCAAAUCGUACCCCAAACCGACACAGGUGGUCAGGUAGAGAAUACCAAGGCGCUUGAGAGAACUCGGGUGAAGGAACUAGGCAAAAUGGUGCCGUAACUUCGGGAGAAGGCACGCUGACACGUAGGUGAAGUGAUUUACUCAUGGAGCUGAAGUCAGUCGAAGAUACCAGCUGGCUGCAACUGUUUAUUAAAAACACAGCACUGUGCAAACACGAAAGUGGACGUAUACGGUGUGACGCCUGCCCGGUGCCGGAAGGUUAAUUGAUGGGGUCAGCGCAAGCGAAGCUCCUGAUCGAAGCCCCGGUAAACGGCGGCCGUAACUAUAACGGUCCUAAGGUAGCGAAAUUCCUUGUCGGGUAAGUUCCGACCUGCACGAAUGGCGUAAUGAUGGCCAGGCUGUCUCCACCCGAGACUCAGUGAAAUUGAACUCGCUGUGAAGAUGCAGUGUACCCGCGGCAAGACGGAAAGACCCCGUGAACCUUUACUAUAGCUUGACACUGAACAUUGAGCCUUGAUGUGUAGGAUAGGUGGGAGGCUUUGAAGCGUGGACGCCAGUCUGCGUGGAGCCGACCUUGAAAUACCACCCUUUAAUGUUUGAUGUUCUAACGUGGACCCGUGAUCCGGGUUGCGGACAGUGUCUGGUGGGUAGUUUGACUGGGGCGGUCUCCUCCUAAAGAGUAACGGAGGAGCACGAAGGUUGGCUAAUCCUGGUCGGACAUCAGGAGGUUAGUGCAAUGGCAUAAGCCAGCUUGACUGCGAGCGUGACGGCGCGAGCAGGUGCGAAAGCAGGUCAUAGUGAUCCGGUGGUUCUGAAUGGAAGGGCCAUCGCUCAACGGAUAAAAGGUACUCCGGGGAUAACAGGCUGAUACCGCCCAAGAGUUCAUAUCGACGGCGGUGUUUGGCACCUCGAUGUCGGCUCAUCACAUCCUGGGGCUGAAGUAGGUCCCAAGGGUAUGGCUGUUCGCCAUUUAAAGUGGUACGCGAGCUGGGUUUAGAACGUCGUGAGACAGUUCGGUCCCUAUCUGCCGUGGGCGCUGGAGAACUGAGGGGGGCUGCUCCUAGUACGAGAGGACCGGAGUGGACGCAUCACUGGUGUUCGGGUUGUCAUGCCAAUGGCACUGCCCGGUAGCUAAAUGCGGAAGAGAUAAGUGCUGAAAGCAUCUAAGCACGAAACUUGCCCCGAG